Molecule: long non-coding RNA, 735 nt
Organism: Gymnogyps californianus (California condor)
Lineage: Eukaryota; Metazoa; Chordata; Aves; Accipitriformes; Cathartidae
Exons: 3
Source: RefSeq, a predicted model, not a curated record
GGACUGGAGGAGCGGUAGGGGUUCGGUCUCUCAGCCCGCAGUCACUCAGCCCUUGCUCUGAGUCACCGUACACGCACUUCAAGGAAGUGAUACCGAGCACCGAACUGACCUCAGCCGCCGAGUUUCCUCGUUACAGGAGGCAGCAUCAUCUGGAGUUUUAAAGCACCAGAUGAUCCCCAGGCAAAGGCAGCAUAGGUACAAUGCUUGUGUUACCAGUGGGGGUCUGAAACCAGCUGCCCAAACAGCAAACUUAGACUUGCUAUCACUUGGAGAGCACCUGGGAAGCAGAACGAAGAUGUGUAGAUGCAAACCAGUUCAGCCCUCGAUUUCUGUGACCCAGGCUGCUGACUCAGCAACACCUAUGUUAAAGCGAUCAGGAGAAGGCACGAGAUGAAACACUGCUUCCCCGGUGUCCUGGUUUCCGCUAGGACAGAGUUAAUUUUCUUCCUAGUAGCUGGUAUAGUGCUGUGUUUUGGAUUGAGUAGGAAAGUAAUGUUGAUAACACACUGAUGUUUUUAGUUGUUGCUAAGUAGUGUUUAUACUAAGCCAAGGAUUUUUCAGCUUCUCAUGCCCAGCCAGCAAGAAGGCUGGAGGGGCACAAGAAGCUGGGAGGGGACACCGCCAGGACAGCUGACCCAGACUGGCCAAAGAGCUAUUCCAUACCAUAUGCCAUCAUGCCCAGUAUAUAAACUGGGGGCGCUGGCUGCGAGGGGCGGAUCGCGGCUCGGGAACUAA